UUUGCUCUUCAAGCGGCCAGCAGGUAUCAGCAGCUUCCUGGCCAGUGCGCACGAUGGCAGGCCAUGGGGAAGGGGAUGUCAUGGCAGUCUCCUUGGCCAAGGAGAGUCCAGAGGUGGUCUAUCUUGCAGGGUUGUUAUGCCAGUAGGUGAGCCUUUUAAUGGCGUCGAGAUAAGUGUUAUCCCAAAGAUCGGAAUGCUGUCAUGCUGUUUUUACAUGAACUGGGGCCAAUGAAAAAGUGAAAAAGCAAUACGACUUUGGAACCAGUUGCCAAGAGAGGUGGUGGGCUCUCCCACACUGGAGGCAUUCAAGAUGAAACUGGAGAGUCAUCUGCGUGGGAUGGUGUGGCUUGGCAUCCUGCACGAGCAGAGAGUUGGACCUGAUGGCCUUCUGGCCCCUUCUAAAUCUACUGUUCCAUUCUAUGAAAGACACCAGGCUGUACAUCAAGAACCAAAACAAGGUCUUGAAGAGUGUAUCCAACAAUGAGGCUUCCUUUAAAAUGGCAAGCUGGAUCCUCUCGCAACACAGAAUUGGAAGCGCUGGAAUUUGUUUUGUGAAAGAAGUCACAGUACAGAUCCUACCGGGUGUUACACAUUGGCAGGAAGUAGAUGCAGAUGAGUAGCAUCUUUGUUUACCCUUUGUUGAGAGACUCCUGGCUUGUAUCCAGUGAAAGUAUUAGCAGAUACAAUAAAAUGUUAAAACCAGGAUCACAAUGUGUAUGCUAUGCAAUAAAACCUUACUCAAACCA
Varanus komodoensis (Komodo dragon) is the source of this 746-nucleotide long non-coding RNA. RefSeq lists it as uncharacterized. The transcript is spliced from 4 exons. The record is from RefSeq and is a predicted model, not a curated record. NCBI's taxonomy places the organism in Eukaryota, Metazoa, Chordata, Lepidosauria, Squamata, Varanidae.